This 578-nucleotide ribosomal RNA is filed under the name Cheilosia vicina. Its description in RNAcentral is "eukaryotic LSU rRNA". The record is from RNAcentral. Lineage: Eukaryota; Metazoa; Arthropoda; Insecta; Diptera; Syrphidae.
GAGUUCAAGAGUACGUGAAACUGCUUAGAGGUUAAGCCCGAUGAACCUGAAUAUCCGUUAUGAAAAAUUCAUCACUAAUACUAUGAUAUUUAUAAUAUUAUGGAAAUAGUGUGCAAUUUUUUCAUAUAAGGACAUUGUAAUCUGUUAAUGUAAUAAAUAUUUAUUAAAAGAUCUUAUACACAAGUUUAUUCAAAUUAGUUAUUUUCGAAUUUCUAACAUAGAAUAAAUGUAUUUGAUUUAAUAAAUCAUUGACAGAUUUAAUUAUAAUAUAGUGCUUAAAUUUUGAACGAAAUUUUACAAUAAUAUGGUAAUUCAAUUUAUUAUGUUUAUUGUAUGCGCUUAUAUGAUUAACAAUGCGAUAGAUUCAGGAUACCUUCGGGACCCGUCUUGAAACACGGACCAAGGAGUCUAACAUAUGUGCAAGUCAUUGGGUAUUUUUAAUAAAACCCAAUGGCAUAAUUAACUUAACUGUUUUUUAAAUGGGAUUAGUUUAUAUUUUAUUAUGAAAUAUUAAUUCAAUCCCGGGGCGUUCUAUAUAGUUAUACAUAAUGAUAUUUAUAUUAUUUAUGCCUCUAACU